CAGCGACAGAGCGUCCGGAUUGCAAAAC
Molecule: small RNA, 28 nt
Filed under: Bombyx mori (domestic silkworm)
Lineage: Eukaryota; Metazoa; Arthropoda; Insecta; Lepidoptera; Bombycidae
Description: ovarian small RNA-4714
Source: RNAcentral